This 381-nucleotide ribosomal RNA is filed under the name uncultured euryarchaeote. Its description in RNAcentral is "bacterial SSU rRNA". It matches the Rfam family "Archaeal small subunit ribosomal RNA", at positions 471 to 851 of the family's 1478-position model. The record is from RNAcentral. Lineage: Archaea; Methanobacteriati; Methanobacteriota.
UAAUACUAGCGGUCCAAGUCGCAGCCAUUUUUAUUGGGUCUAAAACAUCCGUAGCUUGCUUGGUAAGUUUCCUGUGAAAUCCUAUCUCUUAAAGAUAGGGCGUGCAGGAAGUACUGCCGAGCUAGAGACUGGAAGACGUAGGAAGUACGAUCAAAGUAGCGGUAAAAUGCAUUAAUCUUGAUUGGACUAACGAUAGCGAAGGCAUCCUACGAGGACAGUUCUGACAGUAAGGGAUGAAAGCUAGGGGCGCAAAACGGAUUAGAUACCCGUGUAGUCCUAGCUGUAAACACUGCACACUAAACAUUAGUAUCUCCUCGAGAGGUAUUAGUGCUGCAGCGAAGGCGAAGAGUGUGCUACCUGGGAAGUAUAGUCGCAAGGCCG